RNAcentral lists this long non-coding RNA (645 nucleotides) under Hordeum vulgare. RNAcentral describes it as "long non-coding RNA (HVUL_LNC017922)". The record is from RNAcentral. Lineage: Eukaryota; Viridiplantae; Streptophyta; Magnoliopsida; Poales; Poaceae.
GGUAGAACAGUGUAGAAAAGCGUUCCCCAGAAGGGAAUGACAGGAAACGAGAAAAAAGAGAGAGAAACGAAAGAGGAAGACAGGAAAGAAAAAGGAAGACAACUAUCUCAGCCCGGGUCGAAAGGCAUCCCUGCUCCUGCCAGGUUCCACAGUCUAAUUUCCUCUUUAAUUCUGGUCUGCAUCCCGUCCGCCGUCUUGUACUCCUGGUUGAAGACUCUCGUGUUCCUUUCCCGCAAGAUCUCCCAAGUAAUUAGGUGCACGAGGAAGAACAGCCCCUUUUUCUUCUCCUUAGCAGUGAGAGCAUAGCAAGUCUCGAACCAUGUUGAAAACUUGUGAUCCCUCUCCCAGCUUGCCGGGCAUAGCGAUGGCAUAGCCGUGAGGGAGGGCAGAUGCAGGUUGGCAGCGGGAGCCGGAGAGUGGAGGGCGGAGGCCAGCCUAGGCGCCCCCCGUGCUUGUCGUGAUAUGCUGACUGCUGACUCAAUUAUUCGCGCCAACAGACGGAUGAUCCUCGGUCAUGGGGCAGCGGCGCUGCUGGUCGGUUCGCUCGACCUGGUGGCUGACCGACUGAAAGCGCACGUCUCCACGUUUUCUCUAGAAGAAGUUGACCAAACCGCCAGGUGAGAGCGUGGGUUGGUACAUGCUGCC